UCCGGCGUGGCGCAGUGGUAGCGCGGUCCCCUGUUAAGGGAAAGGUCGCAGGUUCGAAUCCUGCCGCCGGAGCCA
Molecule: transfer RNA, 75 nt
Filed under: Candidatus Woesebacteria bacterium
Lineage: Bacteria; Candidatus Woeseibacteriota
Description: tRNA-Asn
Rfam family: tRNA
About the family: Transfer RNA (tRNA) molecules are approximately 80 nucleotides in length. Their secondary structure includes four short double-helical elements and three loops (D, anti-codon, and T loops).
Source: RNAcentral